Molecule: long non-coding RNA, 360 nt
Organism: Myotis myotis
Lineage: Eukaryota; Metazoa; Chordata; Mammalia; Chiroptera; Vespertilionidae
Exons: 3
Source: RefSeq, a predicted model, not a curated record
UCUUGUCUUGCCUCCAUUUCUUCGCGUCUCCUAUCCUCUCAUUCCCUUACAGGAAUCGUCACGGUACCCACGUUGCAUGCCCCGCGGGUCGGGGCCGGAGUUAAAACAAAAUACAAAUAGAGACUAGACUUGAAAAUUCCCUGAACAGCAGAACCAGCUAAGCCAUGCCGACCAGAAGUGAGUGAAAGAGGCUGCUUGCCAGGAGGUGAAUGAGAAUAGAAAUGAAAUGAGUCUGGCUUUCAAAUGCCAAACGGGUAGCCAAAAACUCCUGGCUUGAUUUGGAAUACCAGUAAUAUCAAUUGAUAGGAAAAAUUAUACUUUGUCAGCCCCAAGCCCUCAACUAAUUUUUUAAACGGGUAA